This 523-nucleotide ribosomal RNA is filed under the name Debaryomyces hansenii. RNAcentral's name for it is "partial large subunit ribosomal RNA". It matches the Rfam family "Eukaryotic large subunit ribosomal RNA", at positions 75 to 603 of the family's 3401-position model. The record is from RNAcentral. Lineage: Eukaryota; Fungi; Ascomycota; Pichiomycetes; Serinales; Debaryomycetaceae.
UUGCCUUAGUAACGGCGAGUGAAGCGGCAAAAGCUCAAAUUUGAAAUCUGGCACCUUCGGUGUCCGAGUUGUAAUUUGAAGAAGGUAACUUUGGAGUUGGCUCUUGUCUAUGUUCCUUGGAACAGGACGUCACAGAGGGUGAGAAUCCCGUGCGAUGAGAUGCCCAAUUCUAUGUAAAGUGCUUUCGAAGAGUCGAGUUGUUUGGGAAUGCAGCUCUAAGUGGGUGGUAAAUUCCAUCUAAAGCUAAAUAUUGGCGAGAGACCGAUAGCGAACAAGUACAGUGAUGGAAAGAUGAAAAGAACUUUGAAAAGAGAGUGAAAAAGUACGUGAAAUUGUUGAAAGGGAAGGGCUUGAGAUCAGACUUGGUAUUUUGCGAUCCUUUCCUUCUUGGUUGGGUUCCUCGCAGCUUACUGGGCCAGCAUCGGUUUGGAUGGUAGGAUAAUGACUAAGGAAUGUGGCUCUACUUCGGUGGAGUGUUAUAGCCUUGGUUGAUACUGCCUGUCUAGACCGAGGACUGCGUCUU